CUUGAACAUCUUUUUAUGAGCUUUUUGGUCACUUGUUUUUCUUGUUUUUGGAAGAAUGCCUAUUCAAUUGUAUUGCCCAUUUUAAAAUCAAGGUGUUAGAUUUUUGUCACUCAAUAGUUGGGGUCAUAUAUAUAUAUAUAUAUAUAUAUAUAUAUAUUCUGAAUAUUAACCCAUUACCAGAUAUAUGAUGUGCAAACAUUUUCUGACAGAUUCCUCAGAAAAUGGAGGCAGAGGAGUAAGGAUAUCUUU
Long non-coding RNA from Dipodomys spectabilis (banner-tailed kangaroo rat), 249 nucleotides. RefSeq lists it as uncharacterized. The transcript is spliced from 3 exons. Lineage: Eukaryota; Metazoa; Chordata; Mammalia; Rodentia; Heteromyidae. The record is from RefSeq and is a predicted model, not a curated record.